UGAAUGGUGAAUUUAACCGUUCCAUAUUCUUAUUGUGCCCCACCCACCUGGUGAGAGAUUUUUCUUCUAGGCAUUUAAUAGCCGGCUCAUACAUUUGACAAAGCAUACAGCAGGCAGCGAUAACGAAUUCCAGCCCAUGCCCGAAGAUAUCUGAAGUCCUCAGCAGUCCACAUGAGCAGGAAAUCAUUCAGUUAUACAUUAGAAGGUGGAGGAGGAACCAGGGGGACACCUAUGUUAGACUGGAUUCUGACUAACUGGGAGGAAUUGUCUGCAAAUCCGAAGGUUGAAGGCAAUUUUGUGGAAAGUGAUUGUGGAAAUGACAGAUUUCAGGAUCCUAAGGCAUGGAAGGAGUGAGAGCAGCAGAACAAAGACAAUGGAUUUAAAAAAACAACUCACCAGAUGUUACCAAACUAAGCGAACUGGCAGGUAUAGUCCCCUGGGAAGAAAAUCUAAGGGAAUGGGGGUUCUGGACAGCUGACAGCUUCUCAGAGAAAACAGCAAACUAUCCAAAUGCAAAGGAAAAAUACAAGGAAUAGUAAGAUGCCAAUAAAGCUGCAUCAGGAUCUCUUUAAUGACGUGAAGUCAAAAGGGAAGCUGACAAGAAGUGAAAACGUGGAUGAAUUGCUACGGAGGAGGACAAAAGAACAGCACAGACUUGUAGGGACAAAACCAGAAAGGCUGAGGAACAAAAUGAGUUACACCUAGAGAGGGAGGUAAAAGGCAAGAAGAAGAGGUUCUUUAAACCCAUUAGGAGCAAGAGAAAGAUGAAGGAAAGUCUAGAUCCUCUACAUAGCGAGGAAGGAGACUUAAUAACAGAUAACAUCAAGAGGGCUGAGGUAUUUAAUGCCUAUUUUGCUUCAGCCUUCGCUAAAAAAGUUAAAGGAGACCAGAUACUCAAUGCAAUUAAUAUUAAUAACAAGGGAGAAGGAAUACAAGCCAAAACAGGGAAAGACCAAGUGUGACAGGGUGGAUGAAGCCCUGAGGCCCCCUGCUGGAUGCCUCAUGACCCUGGCAUACCCUGCCCCAGAAAAGGGAAGUGGAGGGGAUCCUGAGUGGAGCACAGCCAAUCGGAAAGGGGCUGCAGGGAGCAGCCAAUCAGGGCCCAGCAGGCUAGUAUAAAAAGAGCUGCAGGGCCAGAGUAAGAUCUGUUCCCUGCUUGAGCUGAGUGGGUGGUGUGCCUGGCUGGCUGAGGGAGGUACAGGAGCUGGGGCAGAGCAGUGCUGACAGAGGCUGGGGGGAUCGUGAAGGAGCUCCGGGCUGGCGACAAGGCCCUGAGGUAAGGGUGAACAAUGAGCUGGGGCUGGGGGGCAGUGGCCCCGGCAAUUGUAGCAGUGAUGCAGUUUAUUUAAAGGGACAGGACAGGUGGCUGUUAUCUGUAGGGUUCCUGGGCUGGGACCUGGAGUAGAGGGUGGGUCUGGGUUCCCCCCACCAGCCACUGGGAGAGUGGCCUGGACUUUGAUACACCCCAGAAGGAGAAGUGAACUCUUGUAGUGUCCCAGCAGGAGAGCUGGGGCCAGAAAGGUCCAGAGAGGCAGAGUCUCCGGGAGCGAGCCCUGGGGCACAUGGCCCCACACCAGGGCCGGGACUGCUUGAAGAGCAGGGACAAUUUGAAAGAGCCCAGAAGGGGCUGAGAGACCAUUCGAACCAGGGUUCUGCGAUAGGCCCUGUUGGACUGACUGAGGCUCAAGUCUAGAGAUAGGGCUGCCGAUUAAGGGACCUUACCGAGGGCACUGAAAUAGGGCCCUUGUUGGACUUAUAUCCUGCAAGUGGUGUGAUUUAUCUCACAUACAGACUGUGUGUGUUGGCUGGAAGGCUGAGAGAGUGCAGGCACCUGCACCGAGACGGGGGGCACUUGUGAGGGGUGAGUGUCCCCCAUUACAGCAGGUUUAAGAAUAUUUAAAUAAGUUAGCUGUAUUCAAGUCAGCACAGCUUGAUGAAAUUCACGCUAGGAUUCUUAAGGAAGUAGCUGAAGGAAUGUUGGAAGCAUUAGCAAUUAUCUUAGAGGACUCCUGGAGGAAGGGUGAGGUCCCAGAGGACUGGAGAAAGGCAAAUAUCGUACCUGCUUUUAAAAAGGGAACAGGGAGGACCUGAGGAAUUAUCAUCCAGUCCCCUUAACUUUGAUACCUCAGAAGAUACUGGAACAAAUUAUUAAAAAAUCAAGUUUUAAGCACCCAGAGGAUGAGACGGUUCUAAGGAAUAGCCAGCAUGGAUUUGUCAAGAACAAACCAACCUAAAUUCCUUCUUUGACAGGGUUACUGGCCUAGUGGAUAGAGUGGAAGAUGUAGAUAUGUCUUGAUUUUAGUAAGGUUUUUGACACAGUCCCACAUGACGCUCUCCUAAGCAAAACAGGGCCAUGUGAUGUAGAAGAAAUUACAUAAGAUAUGUGCACAACUAGUCGGAAGACCAUACUCAAACUGUAGUUAUCAGUGGCUCACUGUCUAAGUGGGAGGACAUAGCUAGCGGAGGCCUGUCCUGGGUUCAGUACUAGUCAGUGAUUUUCAUUAAUGACUUGGAUAAUGGAGUGGAGAGUGUGCUUGUAACAUUUGUGGAUGACACCAAGCUGGGUGGCUUUGCAAGCACUUUGGGGCAGGAUUAGAAUUCGAAAGGACCUUUACAAAUUGGAGAAUUGGUCUGAAAUAAACAUGGUGGAAAAAAGACAAGUGCAAAGUCCUACACUUCGGAAGGAAAAAUCACAUGCACAGCUCUGAAAUGGGGACUAACUGGCUAGGUGGUGGUAUUGCUGAAAAGGACCUGGGGGGCUGCAGUGGAUCACACAUUGAAUGAGUCCACAAUGUGAUGCAGUUCUGAAAGGCUAAUAUCAUUCUGCAGUGUGUUAAAAGGAGUGCGUCUGUAAGACACUUGAGGUCAUUGUCCCACACUACUUGGCACUUGUGAGGCCUUGUGAGCUGGAGUACUGUAUGCAGUUCUGGGCAUUGCACUUUUUAAGAAAGACAAAUUGGAGAGUCCAGAGGAGAGCAACAAAAUGAUAAAAGGCUUAGAACACGUGACCUAUGGGGAAACGCUAAAAAGAGUGGGCAUGGUUAGUCUUGGGAAGAGCUUGUGGGAGGACCUGCUCACUGUCUUCACAUACGUUAAGGGCUGUCAGAAAGCGAAUGGUGAUUGAUUGUUUUCCUUUUGUUCUUCCCAUGUCCACUGAAGAUAGGACUAGAACUAAUAAUUGGCUUAGUCUGCAGCAUGGGAGUGUUAGGUUAGCUAUUGGGGGAAAACUUUCUAACUCUAAGGGUAGUUAAGCUCCAGAAUAGGCUUCGCAUGAAGUUGUGGACUCCCUGCCAUUGAAAGUUUUUGAGACCAGGUUGGACAAACCACUGCCAAGGCUGGUCUAGGUUUACUUGGUCCUGUCUCAGCACUGCGGGCUGACCUAGAUGACCUCUCGAGGUCCCUUCCAGCCCAGCAUGUCUAUGAUUCUGUGUGUCAUGGUGAUUCUGGUCUGUAAGAUGCCAUUAGUGCUCCAGACACACACCAGUAAUUCCAGCUCACUGCUGGCCUGGUACCAUUUUACGUGGGCAGCUUGAACAGCAGAGACUUGGGAUGGCCAGUGGUGCUAAACUGCAGGGUGGGCCAGCCUUGGUACUGGAGAGCUUUGUACACUGAACGUUUUCAGAAAGAGAAAUAGGUUUGUGUGAAGCCAAAGUUCUUUGGAGCGUAAGUGGCUGUUUUCUCGCCUGUGAAGUAUCUGCUCACCAAAGUGGCUGUGCCCCUGUAUCCUGACAUUUUGCAGUGUGGUGGGGGGGAAGGGGACAGGGGGGUUGCUCUUCAAACAGUCCUGGGACUUGGCACCCUGCUUUGAUACAGGGCAGCGCAGAGUCAUGUACCAGCGAUGCACAGAACGCUGAUAGUGGGGUGAGUUAGGUGGCACCUAAACCCCUUGGGCCUGAUUCUCCUCUCACUUAUGCUUGUUUUAGACUCGUUUAAUGACCCUUCAAGUAAUACAUGGCAUAAGGGUGCAUUGAUUUACGGAUUCUUAGAGUUCAGGGCCUGAAGGGAGCAUUAAAUCAUCUGGUCUGACCUCCUGCAUAUCACAAGCCAUUGAAUGUCACCCAGAUACCCCCAUAUUGAGCCCAAUAACUUUUUGGCUAAAGCAUCUUCCAGAGGGGCAGCCAGUCUGGAUCUGAAGACAUCAAGAGAUGGAGAAUCCACCUCUCCCUCUGAGAGUUUGUGCCUACAGUUAAUCACCCUCACUACUGAACACUUGUGCCGAAUAGCACAUGUACAGUGCCCCAGGUACACAGGUGCUGUGAUCAUGUGACUGUGUUGGACAAUAAGCAGUAUUCUUGCCCCUAAGGGCUUAGUCUAAAGGCACAAAUCAGUACACUGCACGGCUUCACAAAAGCACCAGGACGAUUGUACACAGGGUUUGGCGCUGUCCUCUGGCUUGAAUGCUUCACUAAACCUGGGGAGGAAAAGGAGGCAAUAUGAAGUGGGCAAACAGAUCAGUGUGUUGAUGAACUGGUCAUGAUGUGCAGGGAUUGAACCUGUGAUCCCUGGAACUGAAAGCAGGACCCACUACUGGUAGAGCAAAAGGACUGGGUCCACGAGCUCAGAGGCAGUAGCAGACUUGCAUGAUGUAGCCACAGGAGGGAGACAAAGCUGUGUCAGCAUGAGGUGUUGGCGGGUGCUUGAGCCUUUAGGUCCCUGGGAGAAACUGUCCUGCAGCAGGGCUGCGCUGGGAUCUACCAGCCAUAAUGAAAAGACUGAACAGCCUCCCUCCCCUCCUGUGGUCUGAGGGAAGCCCAUGGCUGCAGUGAGCAGACAAGGCUCAGUAUGCGACUGGGGAGAGAUGCGAACAGGAGCACAGUCCUGCAGGGCUGCCAGGGGAGGAGAGAAGCUGGACGUGAGCAGAAGCCGGUGUCCGAGCCUGAAGAGGGGCAUGUCCUGGCCAGAGCAGCAGGAGAGGAAGACUUUAGCAGCAGCAUUUUGGGUUGGGUGGGGAGAGGCGAGAGCGGAGGUUAAAGCCAGGGUGCAGGGAGCGCAGCGCUUUGUUUAGGACCUGUGAUAGCAAGAGAAACAUGGAGGAACUAACCUGCGAGAGGAGGAGACUUGUGUGACUGCAGCGUCAGGAGUACUUUUGGGAGAGGAUUAUUUUCAGCACUUCUCCAUUAACUGAAUUUCAGCUGUACAAUGCAGCGUUCCCUAUGGAUAAUGGCAAUAUGGACAUGUAUGCACCAGGGCAGGCCACCCACCAGCCAUGGGGUCACUUUCAUUUACUGCUGACCUCCACGUGAAAGCCUGUCUAACCCAUUACCAUUCCCUUCCAGUGUCCCAUUCCCCUGCAGGGGGCACUGCACGCACAACUUCCUAGGCUGGAUAGACCGGCAGGGAGAGGUUUUGAAUAAAUCACCUCAAGAGUCUGUAAAUCUCAGAAGGGCGGACUUGCUGUCCACACUUCUGCUCUUGGAAGUGCGGUGUGAAAUGUGAGUGUGUGUGACUGGUUUGCACUGUAAUGUCUUCUCAACUGGUCCUUAAUGGGCAUUGACGGACCAGAUCCAAAGUGGAUAGAAAGGCUCCCACUGAGUCUUUCACUGGAUUUUGGACCACACCCUAAAUGCAUGUUCUUUCAAAUAUUUCCCCCGGCUGGAGCUGGCUGGCUGGUGGAAUAGCCUCUUCGCACGAGUCAGCUUGUGACUUGAAAUGCAGAGUAGAAUGCUCUUCGUGGACUCCAGAUUAACUGCUCCGUCUAGACCCUUUUCAUGCAAAAUCAACUAUACAUAGAAACGUGAUCAGAGGCUUUCAUUAGAUGACAAAACCUUCCAUUAAAGCUAGGGGCCAGGUGGGAAUUGCUACAUUUUCCUGUUCUGUUCAGGGCGGCAUUCUGUUAUUGCCCUGCUUAAAAUGUGCCACCACAAUUCCUCUCUAUUUUAACUAAUUCUACUGGAGUUUAUCUAAAUACACCCUUGUUGCAUCUUAUCGGCAACACACUGAAUAACGGAGCAUUUUUCCUUCAGAAGUGUUAAGUGUAUUUGCACUCAUUGUCACAGAUUCAUUGUCAUCAAUUCAACAGUGUGAGUCAAACGGUUUCUAAAACAUAAUCAAAUUGGAUUAUCCAUUUGAUCUCCUGCUUCCUCGGCAGCCUGGCCUCAGGUACUCUGAUGUAACUCCAGGGUCGCUCCAGAGUCCUCUGUACUCAAGCUGCAGUGUCCCUGGCUUGCUAUUGACGUGGGCACUAAUGGAAAGAAAUAAUCCAAACACUAUUCCAAUCUGCUCCAGAAAAGAGAGUUGUAAAUACUCGGCCCUUUGCCCACUUAGCUUGUUGUACCUAAAUCAACAAUCACCCCAGGACCUUAGAGAUGGCAAAAACCUCUACAUUACUUAGACCCAAUCCUGAACUCAAAUGAGGCGUUCACAAGUUGUUUUGUAUGCCACUGGCCUUGUAUUGUAGCUGCAAAGUGUACUGAUGAUAUAACUGCACUUCAGAUAAGAAAAGUCUGAUAGUCACUUGUUAAUAAACAGCUAGCCACCGAGGAAUGCUCUAAACUUCAGCUCACUUCCUCCCUUUAGACAGACAUUUUCUGCAUACCACAAUUAACUGCGGUCAAAAAAGAGACAUGAGAUUGGCUGACGGGGAAAUCCUUUAAGCAAAGGCUCAUAAGGAUCAUUGCACAGUUCAGGAUGUGGGGCAUGAAGUGAAAUUUUACCUUGAGGACCCGUGGGCUUUGCAGCCUUUUAGGGGCAGCCCAAGUAAAUCGCCCUGACUUUUCUGAUAGGCUGUGUCUAGUGGUCUGAUGCGAAUAUUACCUGUUGCAUGAAUAUUGCUGAGGUCAGUGCUUGCUGUGAGAUGGUCGUGCUUCAUAAGAGGUACUUCUGCCCCCACAGGGGCACUGUAUCUAGGGGGCCAAUCUUUCUGUUCAGGGCAAUGGAAAUCCUGCAUAAGGUGUUGGCCUGGCAGUCUGUGAAUGGGACGAGGUGAGAUCCACUCAUAAACCCCGACGACUCAGUCCUUGGCCAAAGUGGUAACGAAGCAGGUUCUCCCAAAGGCCCAUACAAAGCUGUGAAAGAACUCCAGCACCGGGGCCAUUUGUUCAGGGCAGGCCUCACGCAUCUCUGUGUCCUGUUGGUAGGAAGAGAACUUGCCUAGCUGUGGGCACUGGUUUCAGAGGGUGAUGUGAUGACUGGGUACUUUUCCUUUCUAGGUGCACCUAAAGGAGAGCCUGUGGAGCUGGUUUGUAGGGUCAGGGUCUGCUAAACCCAGUGCCAGGGGUCUGGAGAUUCAGCCGUCUUGCUCUGAUGCGCACAAUAGGGCAAGCACACUCAUGGAUUCCUGUCUCUGCAUGCUGUCUAAUGUACGAACAAGUGUGUGUUGGUUCAAAAAGUAAAGCACUGUGGGGAAGAAGCAAUAAAGAUAAGGAGGAAAUGGAGCACUUCUUAAUGAAGACAAACUGGAAGGAUAGUGAGAAAAAACGGUGAAAGAUAUGACAGAGCAAGUGGAAUAGUAAGUGGGUAAAAUUAGAUUUCAGAAUCCCAGACAUCAAACAAAAGGUUGGAUUCAUUUACCAGAAACUCUCAAAUAACCACAGGUUUUCCUACCUGUUCCUCACUUAGAAACCUGGAAAUCAUAGGCACCCUCUCAUAAUAGUCAAUUUUUGAACUGUAGAUAUGGUGACCACGCCAUCAUUUCAAAUAACUAUUCUCUUGAGUAAUGAUGCCUCAGCUAUCCCAUUUAGCCUAUCCUGUUUGCUAUUUACACUUCCUAUUGUGUGAGUGAGCUAAAGGUAGCUUUUGUCCAUAGGCGGGAUUGAGCCAGUACUCAAUAUAGGUUGUAUCAGUACUUUUCUGGUGGCCUCCGAGCACUUUUUUGUCUGAAUUAAUCUUUCACUGAAGUAAUAGCUCUUAUGGUUUCUAAGAGAACUUUCUGAAUAUGGCUCAAUAUGGUGCUGUAAAACAGAGUUCAGACAACCUGCCUGAAAUAAUUGCUCGAUGAGAUGUGUGAGCAGCACCUAUUCAUCUCUAAGGUUACUGAAACUAGAUAGGAAUUCAACUAACUGCAAUUCUGCAUUUUUACCCACAUCCAUGGCUACAGCCAAGGAGCAUAGCUCAGAUGGGGGUUUGCAAAGUUGGCCUUAAUGCUUCCCCAACUGGACUCUCCAAGUGCUGGGCCAAUCCCCUAGUGCAAUUUAGAGCAAUCUUCAGGCUGCUGUAAAUUUUCCACCUGCCAAGAAUCCCUAAAGUUCAAUAAAGCAGCCAACUUGUGUAGCGAUGCCCUGGCCAUACUCCUCUUCUCAAGCCUCACUCCUACAUCAGCAGCAGGAAGGAAACUGACAUAGGUGACACUACAUCAACUCUGUACCACCAAAAGAUUCCCCUCCACUAGGGUUAUUCUUUCGUGGCCAGGUAGCUUCUAUAAAGUGGUUGCGCCUGCAACACACCAGGAUCUGAGCCCUUGAUUGCAUACACUAAAUUGUUGCUAUUGGAGACCACAAUUUAUGGAUACGUCUGACAGAUUAAAGACAGAAAAGAGAAUUCCACUAAAUCUGUAAGAAACAGUCACU
This is a long non-coding RNA of Chelonia mydas (Green sea turtle), 8504 nucleotides long. RefSeq lists it as uncharacterized. NCBI's taxonomy places the organism in Eukaryota, Metazoa, Chordata, Testudines, Cheloniidae. The transcript is spliced from 4 exons. The record is from RefSeq and is a predicted model, not a curated record.